GACUAACGCUGGCGGCGUGCUUCACACAUGCAAGUCGAACGGAGUGGCGAACGGGUGAGUAACACGUAGGUGACCUGCCCUGCACUUCGGGAUAAGCCUGGGAAACUGGGUCUAAUACCGGAUAGUGUGGGAUGGGCCCGCGGCCUAUCAGCUUGUUGGUGGGGUAAGGGCCUACAAAGGCUGCGACGGGUAGCCGGCCUGAGAGGGUGGACGGCCACAUUGGGACUGAGACACGGCCCAGAGUCCUACGGGAGGCAGCAGUGGGGAAUAUUGCACGAGGGGCGGAAGCCUGAUGAAGCGACGAAGCGUGGGGGAUGACGGCCUUCGGUUUGUAAACUCCUUUCACCAUCGACGCGGUAGAUGGAGAAGAAGCACCGGCUAACUACGUGCCAGCAGCCGCGGUAAUAC
RNAcentral lists this ribosomal RNA (408 nucleotides) under uncultured bacterium. Its description in RNAcentral is "partial 16S ribosomal RNA". It matches the Rfam family "Bacterial small subunit ribosomal RNA", at positions 28 to 526 of the family's 1533-position model. The record is from RNAcentral.